AUUGAACGCUGGCGGCAUGCCUUACACAUGCAAGUCGAACGGUAACAGGCUUUCGGAUGCUGACGAGUGGCGAACGGGUGAGUAAUACAUCGGAACGUGCCCAGACGUGGGGGAUAACGAAGCGAAAGCUUUUCUAAUACCUCAUACGAUCUAAGGAUGAAAGCAGGGGACCGCAAGACCUUGCGCGUUUGGAGCGGCCGCUGGCAGACUAGGUAGUUGGUGGGAUAAAAGUUUACCAGGCCGACGAUCUGUAGCUGAUGUGAGAGGACGAGCUCCCACACUGGGAGUGAGACGGGGCCCAGGCUCCUGCGGGAGGCAGCAGUGGGGAAUGGUGGGCAAUGGGCGGGAGCCUGGUCCAGCGAUGCCGCGUGCAGGAUGAAGACGUUGGGGUUGUAAACUGCUUUUGUACGGAACGAAAAGGCUCUGGCUAAGACCUAGGGCACAUGACGGUACCGUAAGAAUAAGCACCGGCUAACUACGUG
RNAcentral lists this ribosomal RNA (482 nucleotides) under uncultured bacterium. RNAcentral describes it as "partial 16S ribosomal RNA". It matches the Rfam family "Bacterial small subunit ribosomal RNA", at positions 29 to 507 of the family's 1533-position model. The record is from RNAcentral.